This 271-nucleotide ribosomal RNA is filed under the name uncultured bacterium. RNAcentral describes it as "partial 16S ribosomal RNA". It matches the Rfam family "Bacterial small subunit ribosomal RNA", at positions 524 to 794 of the family's 1533-position model. The record is from RNAcentral.
UACAGAGGGUGCAAACGUUGUUCGGAUUUACUGGGCGUAAAGCGCGUGUAGGCGGCUUGGCAAGUCGGGUGUGAAAGCCCUGGGCUCAACCUAGGAAGUGCACUCGAAACUGCUUCGCUGGAGUCUCGGAGAGGAAAGCGGAAUUCUCGGUGUAGAGGUGAAAUUCGUAGAUAUCGAGAGGAACAUCGGUGGCGAAGGCGGCUUUCUGGACGACGACUGACGCUGAGACGCGAAAGCGUGGGGAGCAAACAGGAUUAGAUACCCUGGUAGU